GGGAGCUUGCUUCCCUUGAGAGCGGCGGACGGGUGAGUAAUGCCUAGGAAUCUGCCUAGUGGUGGGGGAUAACGUUCGGAAACGGACGCUAAUACCGCAUACGUCCUACGGGAGAAAGCGGGGGACCUUCGGGCCUCGCGCCAUUAGAUGAGCCUAGGUCGGAUUAGCUAGUUGGUGAGGUAACGGCUCACCAAGGCGACGAUCCGUAACUGGUCUGAGAGGAUGAUCAGUCACCCUGGAACUGAGACACGGUCCAGACUCCUACGGGAGGCAGCAGUGGGGAAUAUUGGACAAUGGGCGAAAGCCUGAUCCAGCCAUGCCGCGUGUGUGAAGAAGGUCUUCGGAUUGUAAAGCACUUUAAGUUGGGAGGAAGGGUAGUAACUUAAUACGUUGCUAUUUUGACGUUACCGACAGAAUAAGCACCGGCUAACUCUGUGCCA
This 440-nucleotide ribosomal RNA is filed under the name Pseudomonas sp. DJC-1-2. RNAcentral describes it as "bacterial SSU rRNA". It matches the Rfam family "Bacterial small subunit ribosomal RNA", at positions 74 to 510 of the family's 1533-position model. The record is from RNAcentral. Lineage: Bacteria; Pseudomonadati; Pseudomonadota; Gammaproteobacteria; Pseudomonadales; Pseudomonadaceae.